RNAcentral lists this ribosomal RNA (253 nucleotides) under uncultured bacterium. RNAcentral's name for it is "partial 16S ribosomal RNA". It matches the Rfam family "Bacterial small subunit ribosomal RNA", at positions 524 to 776 of the family's 1533-position model. The record is from RNAcentral.
UACGAAGGGUGCAAGCGUUAAUCGGAAUUACUGGGCGUAAAGCGCGCGUAGGUGGUUCAGUAAGUUGGAAGUGAAAUCCCCGGGCUCAACCUGGGAACUGCUUUCAAAACUGCUGAGCUAGAGUACGGUAGAGGGUGGUGGAAUUUCCUGUGUAGCGGUGAAAUGCGUAGAUAUAGGAAGGAACACCAGUGGCGAAGGCGACCACCUGGACUGAUACUGACACUGAGGUGCGAAAGAGUGGGGAGCAAACAGG